RNAcentral lists this ribosomal RNA (446 nucleotides) under uncultured bacterium. Its description in RNAcentral is "partial 16S ribosomal RNA". It matches the Rfam family "Bacterial small subunit ribosomal RNA", at positions 338 to 795 of the family's 1533-position model. The record is from RNAcentral.
CCUACGGGAGGCAGCAGUCGAGAAUCAUUCACAAUGGGGGAAACCCUGAUGGUGCGACGCCGCGUGGGGGAAUGAAGGUCUUCGGAUUGUAAACCCCUGUCAUGUGGGAGCAAAUUAAAAAGAUAGUACCACAAGAGGAAGAGACUGCUAACUCUGUGCCAGCAGCCGCGGUAAUACAGAGGUCUCAAGCGUUGUUCGGAAUCACUGGGCGUAAAGCGUGCGUAGGCUGUUUCGUAAGUCGUGUGUGAAAGGCGCGGGCUCAACCCGCGGACGGCACAUGAUACUGCGAGACUAGAGUAAGGGAGGGGGAACCGGAAUUCUCGGUGUAGCAGUGAAAUGCGUAGAUAUCGAGAGGAACACUCGUGGCGAAGGCGGGUUCCUGGACAGUAACUGACGCUGAGGCACGAAGGCCAGGGGAGCGAAAGGGAUUAGAUACCCCAGUAGUC